UACAGAGGUCUCAAGCGUUGUUCGGAUUCAUUGGGCGUAAAGGGCGCGCAGGCGGCCCGGAAAGUCGGAUGUGAAAACUCGAGGCUCAACCUCGAGCGUGCACCCGAUACUGCCGGGCUUGAGGCAGGUAGGGGAGAUCGGAAUUCCUGGUGUAGCGGUGAAAUGCGCAGAUAUCAGGAGGAACACCGGUGGCGAAGGCGGAUCUCUGGGCCUGUCCUGACGCUGAGGCGCGAAAGCUAGGGGAGCGAACAGG
Molecule: ribosomal RNA, 253 nt
Filed under: uncultured bacterium
Lineage: Bacteria
Description: partial 16S ribosomal RNA
Rfam family: Bacterial small subunit ribosomal RNA
Source: RNAcentral